RNAcentral lists this ribosomal RNA (573 nucleotides) under uncultured archaeon. RNAcentral's name for it is "bacterial SSU rRNA". It matches the Rfam family "Archaeal small subunit ribosomal RNA", at positions 106 to 682 of the family's 1478-position model. The record is from RNAcentral.
AACCUACCCUGGGGACGGGGAUAACCUCGGGAAACUGAGGCUAAACCCCGAUGGGCCAUGGCUCCUGGAAUGGGCUAUGGCUGAAAUCUACAUGGCCCCAGGAUGGGACUGCGGCCGAUCAGGUUGUUGGUGGGGUAAUGGCCCACCAAGCCUAUAACCGGUGCGGGCUCUGAGAGGAGGAGCCCGGAGAUGGGCACUGAGACAAGGGCCCAGGUCCUAUGGGGCGCAGCAGGCGCGAAACCUCCGCAAUGGGCGAAAGCCCGACGGGGUCAGUCCGAGUGGUUCCCGCUGAGGGAACCUUUUGCCAGCUGUAAACAGGCUGGCGAAUAAGGGGUGGGCAAGUUUGGUGUCAGCCGCCGCGGUAAUACCAGCACCCCGAGUGGUCGGGACGAUUAUUGGGCCUAAAGCAUCCGUAGCCGGCCCAGUAAGUCCUCCGUUAAAUCCAACGGCUCAACCGUUGGGCUGCGGGGGAUACUGCUGGGCUAGGGGACGGAAGAGGCGAGGGGUAUUCCCAGGGUAGGGGUAAAAUCCACUGAUCCCGGGAGGACCACCAGUGGCGAAGGCGCCUCGCUA